Molecule: microRNA precursor, 86 nt
Filed under: Pteropus vampyrus (large flying fox)
Lineage: Eukaryota; Metazoa; Chordata; Mammalia; Chiroptera; Pteropodidae
Description: miRNA (ENSPVAG00000026470.1)
Source: RNAcentral
UUGUUAAAAAUGAAGAUUCUUAGCCCUACUCUCGGGGUUUCUGAUUCAGUAGGGCUAGGGUGGGGCCCAGGAAUCUGCAUUUUUAC